This 374-nucleotide ribosomal RNA is filed under the name uncultured organism. RNAcentral describes it as "partial 16S ribosomal RNA". It matches the Rfam family "Bacterial small subunit ribosomal RNA", at positions 527 to 896 of the family's 1533-position model. The record is from RNAcentral.
GUAGGUGGCAAGCGUUGUCCGGAAUUAUUGGGCGUAAAGCGCGCGCAGGCGGUUCUUUAAGUCUGAUGUGAAAGCCCACGGCUCAACCGUGGAGGGUCAUUGGAAACUGGAGAACUUGAGUACAGAAGAGGAAAGCGGAAUUCCACGUGUAGCGGUUAAAUGCGUAGAGAUGUGGAGGAACACCAGUGGCGAAGGCGGCUUUCUGGUCUGUAACUGACGCUGAGGCGCGAAAGCGUGGGGAGCAAACAGGGAUUAGAUACCCCGGUAGUCCACGCCGUAAACGAUGAGUGCUAAGUGUUAGGGGGUUUCCCGCCCCUUAGUGCUGCAGCUAACGCAUUAAGCACCCCGGCCUGGGGAGUACGGCCGCAAGGCUG